AGUGAACGCUGGCGGUAGGCCUAACACAUGCGAGUCGAACGGCAGCACAGUAAGAGCUUGCUCUUACGGGUGGCGAGUGGCGGACGGGUGAGGAAUACAUCGGAAUCUACUUUUUUGUGGGGGAUAACGUAGGGAAACUUACGCUAAUACCGCAUACGACCUACGGGUGAAAGCAGGGGAUCUUCGGACCUUGCGCGAUUGAAUGAGCCGAUGUCGGAUUAGCUAGUUGGCGGGGUAAAGGCCCACCAAGGCGACGAUCCGUAGCUGGUCUGAGAGGAUGAUCAGCCACACUGGAACUGAGACACGGUCCAGACUCCUACGGGAGGCAGCAGUGGGGAAUAUUGGACAAUGGGCGCAAGCCUGAUCCAGCCAUACCGCGUGGGUGAAGAAGGCCUUCGGGUUGUAAAGCCCUUUUGUUGGGAAAGAAAAGCAGCAGGUUAAUACCCCGCUGUUCUGACGGUACCCAAAGAAUAAGCACCGGCUAACUUCGUG
This 492-nucleotide ribosomal RNA is filed under the name uncultured bacterium. Its description in RNAcentral is "partial 16S ribosomal RNA". It matches the Rfam family "Bacterial small subunit ribosomal RNA", at positions 29 to 507 of the family's 1533-position model. The record is from RNAcentral.